GUUGCAUCCUGAGCAGCGGAACCCGUGAUCUAAGGCUGCUCCCGUCCAGGGUAAGGAAGCGGGAGGCAUCUUCUGGCCGACUCCCUUUCUCAUUGGCUGGACCAUGUUCCCGGGGUGUUCAUGUCCAGCCCUUCCAGCCCCCUCCCUGUGAGCAGAGGCCACCAGCAGGCCCAGGGAGGGCCAGGUCAAGGAGGCCCUGGGGGCAGUGAGUUCAGGCACCACCCAGGCCCACUUCGGCCCAACCCUCCUGCUUCAAGGCAGUGGCCUGUCACAAGUCCUAAAAAAUAACCUGCAACAUGGUGAGGGGGACAAGUGCACUCUCUGCUGCCUUGGAGAGCCCCAGGGCCAUAGCUGACACCCACCUCUCUGUCGUCUACCGGCCCUUCUAGAUCCCCCUCACCUUGGCCAGCAUUUCUGCUGAGGGUGGUGACCUUCCUGGUGGACCGACAGGCUGUCCAUCCUGAGGCUCUGAGCCCUCGUGAGCCCAUGGUUGAUGCAAAUGCCCGUUCAGCCAUUCCCACACCCAGCGCCUAUGGGCGCCACCCGAGUCCUUUGGUUUCCAAGUUCCUCUCUGCCCCUGCUAUACCGCGGUGACCCUCCUCAGGGUGAUCCGGGUCCAUUGUCCCUGUUAGUACAGAGACUUCCUUAUUUGCUUCUUCCAGCAUAAGAACCCCAGAUAACCAGUGGAGCUGUUCACUGGAUGCUCAGCGGUGCCCCAGGGGACUCCCCUUCCCCAACAGGAAGCGAGGCCUCUAAUCCAAGAAGACUGUAAAGUUGGUUAGAAGCACAGGUUGAUGAGUCGCUGGGAAUUAUUAUAACAGGGUCCACCCCGGCCUUCAUCUUUGGUUCCUGGAACACCACACCUAUCCUGGCCUUUGGUCCAAAGCAUAGACCAUCUCUUGAAACUCUGAGUCCCAAUACCUCGGGGCGUCUUCCCCAAAGUGGCACCUCAGGUGUCACUUUAAGAGUUCAUCCCAACAUUCCGCUGUAUGUGGAGUUGAUGGCGGGCCCUCUGGCCCUGUCCACUGUCCCACCUCAGGCCGCGGUGCUAGCUGAGGCGCAUGUCAAGAGAAGCACACUAGUUGCUGCUCUAUUAGUCCAUUUUCUGUUGCUAUAACAAACUAUCAGAGACUGAGUACUUUAUAAAGGAGAGAGGUUGGUUAGCUCACGGUUUGGGAGGCUGAAAAUGUGUGACUGGACUGUCCCACCGGCUCGGGCUCUGGUGAGGGCGCCUUGGCUGGGUCACAGCGUGGUGGAGGAGCGGAAAGAUGUGUGAAUGGCCAAGUGCAAGGGGUGGUCUGCUUUGUAACCACCUGCUCUCAUGAGUGCUAACCCACUCUGCAGGGGCAGCAUUAAUCCCGCCAAAAAGCCGUUCCCCUCAGCACCCACCCUCCUCCCUCGGGGCCCUGCCUCCCAAGGGUUCCACCCCCUCCACACGGAGGUCCCAGCUCCCCACACUCGAGUCUGAGGGACACUCACACCUUGUCCAAGUCGCCUCCUCCCUUCUCAUGCUCCCCCAUACGUCACCCCCCGACUUUUCCAGGCCACUUUUCUGCUCCUGCUUCUUUCCGGGUCCCUCACCGUCCAGCCUGACCAUCUACCCCUGCCAGGGUCUGUGCAUGUCCCCCCUGAGCGGAUGGCCAGCUUCGAGGCUGGAGCUGGCUGACUGGACCCAGGCCUCAGCGCUGUCCAGCGGCUGGAGGGCGGCAGCUGCCCCUUUUUAUUUGCCCCGACUCAUCCAGCCAACCCUGCCUGAGUGGCGCCCGGGGUUCCCCACCUGCUGUUGUCUGGCUGACAGUGGCUGAGGGGUGGCCGCGAGCCAGAGAGCUGUGGGGUCUGGGUCACCUGUCAGGCACGUUCCAUUCUCAUCAGUGGGAGGUUCCUGUGAUGCCAAACCUCCCCCGUCGCAUGGCCUCCUGUCCACCCCAAGGUCACGCUCAGCCUGUCUCAGCGCCCAGUGGCUCUCCAUGAGCCGCUUUUCAAAUGGCUGAUGACUCUCUGCUGCAGGUGGGAGCCCGGCUGCGGAGCCCACGCUGUCCAUCUCCUGCCCGGGAUUUCCAAAGACUCCCCACGGUGGCCUUCUGCACCACGGUGGACCCACAUCACUGGACGCAGAUGGCACAGCCCAGGGGCAGAGUUACCGGGUCUGGCACCUGAACCCCCUGGAGAGGAGUCCUCGCCGAGGCCCAACAGAAGUGGCACUGUCCCAGUAUCCUGACAAACGGUUUGGAGCAGUGCUUCCUGGUGUCCUUCAUGGGUCAUCUCCAAAGUCCAAAGAGGCAGAUCAAGCACUGUGCCUUUUCCUGGUGGCCGAAGACGCCGGAUAAAGUGACUCAUCUGUCUCGGAAGGACCCGCCCCUUUGAGGCUCCAAGAACCUCACUGAGGCGUCAGAUGUCAGCCUUCGAAGGGCUCGUCUGCCACCCUCUGUACCGCAGGGAGGUCUUACAAGGGACCCGGGAGACGUCCCACUUCCUGCUCAUCAGGUGUGAUGAGCACAAAAUCUUCAAUGUCCUGUGUCAGUCUGCUGCUCUACGGAGUGUCCGUGAUGAAGGUCCCUGCAAAUGCAAACUGCUGUCUUAUCUUAGGUAGCUGCAGAUCACUUCUGAUACGUCUUCCUCACGGGGCCUGCAAAGGGCAUGCUCACCCAGUCUACAGCUUCAUUCCAAAUCCCAGAGGCUGUGUUGAUCUGCUCCACUGCAGAGAGAAUGCAUGUCACGACGGCAGCUUGGGGCUACCACUGGGUCACGUUCACCGUGAUCCAUCCCCAUCGGCUAUGAUUGGGGUAGUUUUGUGAGGGCCCCAGCGGUGCAUCACACAGGGCUACGGGGGACCACCUUCCCUGCCUUCUGUAAGUGAUCAAAGGGGACACUAGCUCUGACUGACAGCCUUUGUGCUGUUGCUCCUGGUUUUCCAUCUCGUAAGUGUGUCCACCCUCAGUACUCACUCAAGGACAGAAGAAAUGUCCCCAGGACGGUUCUCCAGGCUCACGGACUUCCUGUGGAUGGAUUUGGGCUGGACUUCACUUCUCUCUUGGAUUCUGUGAACCCCCUUCUGACAGGGAGAGUCAGGAAUUUGGGGUCUCCUGGUAUGGGUGUCAGCUCUGACCCUGUUCCCAGCAGUCCUGAGAGUCCUGGCUAUUCCCCUUCCCCUGCAUCAGAGCUGUCUGAUAAAUGACCGUAAGGAAGGAUCAAGACAAUCCUGGACCAAAGGAUCACGACUUUCAAGGUCCUUCAAAUAAACCAAAUAAACCUAAUAAAUG
This 3260-nucleotide long non-coding RNA is filed under the name Marmota monax (woodchuck). Lineage: Eukaryota; Metazoa; Chordata; Mammalia; Rodentia; Sciuridae. The record is from RNAcentral.